RNAcentral lists this ribosomal RNA (253 nucleotides) under uncultured bacterium. RNAcentral describes it as "partial 16S ribosomal RNA". It matches the Rfam family "Bacterial small subunit ribosomal RNA", at positions 524 to 776 of the family's 1533-position model. The record is from RNAcentral.
UACGUAGGGUGCGAGCGUUGUCCGGAUUUAUUGGGCGUAAAGGGCUCGUAGGCGGCGUGUCGCGUCGGGAGUGAAAGCCCGUUGCUUAACGGCGGGUUGGCUUUCGGUACGGGCAUGCUGGAGUGCGGCAGGGGAGAAUGGAAUUCCUGGUGUAGCGGUGAAAUGCGCAGAUAUCAGGAGGAACACCGGUGGCGAAGGCGGUUCUCUGGGCAUUACCUGACGUGGAGGAGCGAAAGUGUGGGGAGCGAACAGG